Eurypyga helias (sunbittern) is the source of this 835-nucleotide RNA transcript. It is a transcript of the gene named potassium voltage-gated channel subfamily G member 2 pseudogene, with no coding region annotated. Lineage: Eukaryota; Metazoa; Chordata; Aves; Eurypygiformes; Eurypygidae. The record is from RefSeq and is a predicted model, not a curated record. The transcript has a single exon.
CAAUCAAGCUCCAGAUGCAUUUGUUUGAGUAGCCUCCACCUCCUUAUGGACUCAAUAAAUGUAUCACGAUAUGGCAUUGCUCACUGGGAAUGCAGAUCCUGAGUUCAGCUCCUACUCCUUCAAUAACUUGGAAAACCUGUGUGAAGUGCAAACCAAGAAAGGAUUCUUCUACAAAAAGGCCAAACUUCUGCACCCUGGGGAAGACUUGUGCUGCUUCGCCCACCUGGAUGACCGGACCAGGUUUGUGAUUAUCAACGUGGGUGGUAUUAAAUACAAAGUUCCAUGGACCACCUUGGAGAACUGCCCCUUGACCAGGCUUGGGAAGCUAAAAUCUUGCAACAAUUACGAUGAGAUCAUGAACGUCUGCGAUGAUUAUGAUGUUAGCUGCAAUGAAUUUUUUUUUGAUCGUAACCCUAGUGCCUUCAGGACGAUCGUGACUUUCCUGACAGCUGGGAAGCUGAGGCUUCUCAGGGAGAUGUGCGCUCUUUCUUUUCAGGAGGAGCUUGUGUACUGGGGGAUAGAAGAGGACCACCUGGAGUGGUGCUGUAAAAAGAGAUUGCGACAGAAAGAGGAGGAGGCAGCUGAGGCCAGGCUGUAUGAAGGGGAGAUGAUUUUUAGUGAAACUGCGCAAUGUGCCUUCCAGGACAAUAAUCGAUUGAGUUUGUGCAUGAGAAAGCUCAGGGAUAUGGUGGAGAACCCCCACUCAGGGAUCCCAGGGAAGAUCUUUGCUUGUAUUUCAGUCUCUUUCGUUGCCAUCACUGCAGUCAGCCUCUGCAUCAGCACCAUGCCAGAUGUCAGAGAAGAAGAAGAUCAGGUGAGUGCAGCUUUUCUCAGA